Molecule: long non-coding RNA, 1527 nt
Filed under: Anas platyrhynchos platyrhynchos (common mallard)
Lineage: Eukaryota; Metazoa; Chordata; Aves; Anseriformes; Anatidae
Description: lncRNA (ENSAPLG00000019066.1)
Source: RNAcentral
CCCAAAUGCAUGCUUUACAAUUAUUCUAUUUAUUUUUUUUCUCAAUAUUCAAACUUCAUUUCUUUGGGAAAAUAAUCAGGUAUUAUUUCAAGUUAGUGCAGAGUGCCACAGCAAUUCAGUAAUAAAACAGAUAUGUUGAUCAAAUUUCUGAUUGCAUUGUCAACAAAAAAUGCCUAAGAUUAUACUUCCUAAACAAUGUUAGUGAAAUAUCCCCUGGAAAAGAAUACCUUUCAAAAAAAAAAAAAAAAAAAAAGUUUCCAUUUGCAAGGAGCAAUUCUAAGUAGCUUUCAGAAUUACUUAAGACCUUACUUUGAGAAAAUGGCUGUCUAUUUAUAGUAAAUGCAGAUGAUCUCCUGUGUCACAUAAUUUUUCACUCCAUCUCACAGUAAAAACUCUUUAGAAAUAUCAUAAUAUAUUCUCAAUGCAAGGCUGAAAUCCUUGCCUUCAAUCCUGGUUUUAUUCCUUUGGAAAAAAAAAAAAAAAAAAAAAAAAAAAAGCACAAUUUUCUUAGAGAUUAUUUUCUUCUCUGUCUCAAGAAAAAUCAUACUAAGUCAAAUUGGAACAAAAUUGUUAAGUACCUGCACAUAUCAGAAGGGCUCUGUGCAAUAUUUGAGUGAAGAUUAACAGUUAUUUUUCUUCAGAAUUGUAUCACAGAAAAGAUGGUGCUUCAGAUUAACAGUGAACCUGAAGGAAAAGUAGUUUCCGGCUCCAAUUUUCCUACCAUAUUGGACAAAUCUGACAACUUAGAGAAAACAUCUGUGGCUCUGGAAGAGUUCUUCCUUCCUGGGAGCCCACUCCACUGCAUCUGCUUUCCUACAGCCACCUUCCUCUGUCCAAGUAAGCUCCUCUGUACUAUGGUCCUGUGCCUCUCUUCAUCUCUUCUAUGUCCAUUGCUUUGAUUUAAUUUAUUUGUAUUAAUUUAAUUAAUUUGUUUGUUAAUUAUAUUAUUUGUUAAUUAUAUUAAUUUAAUAAUUAAUUUAUUUGUAUUAAUUUAUAUGUAUUAAUUUAUAUGUAUUCUUAGCUACAGGUUAUCUGAGGUUACUUCAAGCAGAAGUACAACUUCAAAAUGAGUGUCAAUGUAGUACAUGCAUAAAAUAUGGUAAUAGACCUAAAGACUUACACACCUAAAUGGAAAACUUCUGUAUAGAAAGAUGUUUCAGCCCAUGGAGCCAUCCAGCAGAAGACUUACCUCAGAAAACAUGCCCUGACCAUCAAGCCAAGCACCAUGGUCUGAAAGGUCUUCAAAGUACUUUCAAAGGCCCCAGUUAUGCAAUCGAUUAAUUACAGCUAUUGUGCAGGCAAUAGAAAACUGGAGAAGGAAGUCAGCAAAAGGGAGAAAAGUGGAAUGAUGAAGAGGAAUGAAGGAUCUUGACAGAAAUUGUUGGGGGAGUAAACCUGACAACUUCGGGAUGCCUACCUUAUUCAAAGAGACACAUGCAACAAUACAUAUUGCUUCUAUUAUUUUCCAAAACCACUGGUAUUUCUUUUUCUAUUUCCAAGAUUAAAUAAAUAAAUAAUUUUCCAGCA